Molecule: transfer RNA, 72 nt
Filed under: bacterium
Lineage: Bacteria
Description: tRNA-Thr
Rfam family: tRNA
About the family: Transfer RNA (tRNA) molecules are approximately 80 nucleotides in length. Their secondary structure includes four short double-helical elements and three loops (D, anti-codon, and T loops).
Source: RNAcentral
GCCGGGAUAGCUCAGUGGAAGAGCAGAGCUUCCGUAAAGCUAAGGUCGAGAGUUCGAAUCUCUCUCCCGGCU